UAGCGUAGCACCUAAAGUAUUUCUUAGUGUGUACUUAUAACUUAGGAAGGCGAGGCACGGAAGCCGAGCCAGCCUGAGCUGAGGCAGGAUGCCGAAUCGAUGGCGUUUCCGCAACUACUGUAUAAACUCGCAGUACACACAUAGAAGUACUUAGGUGUGCAGCGU
This is a regulatory RNA element of Anaerosporobacter mobilis DSM 15930, 165 nucleotides long. The record is from Rfam. NCBI's taxonomy places the organism in Bacteria, Bacillati, Bacillota, Clostridia, Lachnospirales, Lachnospiraceae.